This is a long non-coding RNA of Plutella xylostella (diamondback moth), 549 nucleotides long. RefSeq lists it as uncharacterized. The record is from RefSeq and is a predicted model, not a curated record. Lineage: Eukaryota; Metazoa; Arthropoda; Insecta; Lepidoptera; Plutellidae.
GCAUGUGAGUCAAUUUUGACAGUUACUCUGUGAAAGAAUGAAUGAAAACGAAAAAAAAAAACAAAUUGUCAUUAAAAUUCUUGUUGUCAUGGCCGGUCGGUGGAUUUUCAUAAUAAGUAACAACUUAAAAAGUUUAAAAACCAAUAUUAUGAGUUCCGCAACUCGGCCGUCGUACCGCCAGACGAAAUUACUUGUAGAAUAUCUAGAAAGUAACCUAGGAAUGGCCAGGGAUCUUCUUAAACCGACCUAGGGAAGAUAAAAUUAUGAAAAAAUUGUAUCAAUGGCCUCGACCUUUAAUGCGGUCGAAGGGUCUUGAAAAGAUGGACUCCGCUGAUAUGCCUAAAACUGAGGCAUUCCAUGGUAAAUGGCAGGAUCAUAACAUACUUAAUGUCGAGGUGCAGCAUCCUGAACCCAUCAUACCCAGGCCUGAACUAUCAAGCCUCAACUCAUCCUGCUCGCACCUCCCAGCGUAGAUCCAGCCGCCGCAACCAAGUUGAUGUAGAAGUAGACAGAGUGAUGGCCAUAGAGGAAAAGCAGGUAGAUGCCUAA